CCCAUCCCUCAGUGGUUCACCCCCCACAUCCACAAACAUGCUCAAGUCUUCCCUGUCUUCCAAAAGGAGGCCCACCCCAGUUCUUUUUCUCCUUCUACCACUCCCCCCUUUCUCCCUUAUUUCACCCCCAAACCUUUGGGGACAAAAAUUAUUUUAUGUGUUCUUUCCAUCCAGUUCUCCCCACAGAUAACUUGAUCAUUGGACAGACUUGGAUCGCAGCUCUCACUCUGCCACUGGGUUAUGGUCUGACCUUGAUCAAAUCGUAAGCCUCUCAGCCUCCUCAUCUGUAAAAUGGGGAUAUUGCUACACUUCCCUCCUGGGCUCUUCGCAACCACGAGAUAAAGAAUCUGAGUUACAGUGUCAUUGCCUGCUGUCUCCCCAGGACCUUGCAUGGUCCUGGCAUGUGUAGACAACACACAGUAUCUGCCUUCAUACUCAAGACUGCAACAUCGACCCUUCCCCGAGUUUCCAGGCUGCUGGCCUCCGUUACAGAUUUCAGGCUUGCCAAUGCCCACAAUCACAUGAGAAUAAUCUAUCUCGGAGAGCAAGCACCUGGAGGAUUAAAUGAGGCAACAUGAAGCACCCACACAGAGUAAUCACUCCAUACAGGAGGAUAGGAUUACUGUGGUUGACGCGAUUUUUAUUAUGAACCAGGUGGCUUUGGGCAAAUGGCAUAAUGUCUCUCCACCCCAUUUCCCUGAUCUCCAAAAAUAACAAUAAAAGCUUCACAGAGGGGCUCUGGGCAUUCAAUGAGAUAAAACAUGUAGCAUGAGGGUGCCUGGCUGGCUCAGUCUGGAGAGCAUGUGACUCCUGUCCUCCCGGUCGGGAGUUCGAGCCCCACGUUGAGCGUAGAGAUUACCUCAACAAAUUAAUUAAUUAAUUAAAAUCAAAAUAAAACAUGGAGCCUGACCCUACAUAGGCAACAGCUAUUACAGGUCAACAGCAUUUCUACGAUCAUCAUCAUGAUUUGCGCCGGCCCGCAGAGGUAAGCCCCUUGAUUCCUCGGGCUCUGAGGUAUCUGAGCAUCUGGGUGGAGAAGCCCGG
Molecule: long non-coding RNA, 1044 nt
Filed under: Mustela putorius furo (domestic ferret)
Lineage: Eukaryota; Metazoa; Chordata; Mammalia; Carnivora; Mustelidae
Description: lncRNA (ENSMPUG00000024006.1)
Source: RNAcentral